Molecule: ribosomal RNA, 460 nt
Filed under: uncultured bacterium
Lineage: Bacteria
Description: partial 16S ribosomal RNA
Rfam family: Bacterial small subunit ribosomal RNA
Source: RNAcentral
CCUACGGGUGGCAGCAGUGAGGAAUAUUGGUCAAUGGACGAGAGUCUGAACCAGCCAAGUAGCGUGAAGGAUGACUGCCCUAUGGGUUGUAAACUUCUUUUAUAUGGGAAUAAAAUGUUCCCCGUGUGGGCUUUUGUAUGUACCAUAUGAAUAAGGAUCGGCUAACUCCGUGCCAGCAGCCGCGGUAAUACGGAGGGUCCGAGCGUUAUCCGGAUUUAUUGGGGUUAAAGGGAGCGUAGGUGGAUUGUUAAGUCAGUUGUGAAAGUUUGCGGCUCAACCGUAAAAUUGCAGUUGAAACUGGCAGUCUUGAGUACAGUAGAGGUGGGCGGAAUGCGUGGUGUAGCGGUGAAAUGCUUAGAUAUCACGAAGAACUCCGAUUGCGAAGGCAGCUCACUGGACUGCAACUGACACUGAGGCUCGAAAGUGUGGGUAUCAAACAGGAUUAGAUACCCCAGUAGUC